This 253-nucleotide ribosomal RNA is filed under the name uncultured bacterium. Its description in RNAcentral is "partial 16S ribosomal RNA". It matches the Rfam family "Bacterial small subunit ribosomal RNA", at positions 524 to 776 of the family's 1533-position model. The record is from RNAcentral.
UACGUAGGCAGCAAGCGUUGUUCGGAGUUACUGGGCGUAAAGGGUGCGUAGGCGGUUGUUUAAGUUUGGUGUGAAAUCUCCCGGCUCAACUGGGAGGGUGCGCCGAAUACUGAAAGACUAGAGUGCGGGAGAGGAGAGUGGAAUUCCUGGUGUAGCGGUGAAAUGCGUAGAUAUCAGGAGGAACACCGGUGGUGUAGACGGCUCUCUGGACCGUAACUGACGCUGAGGCACGAAAGCGUGGGUAGCAAACAGG